AGUGAACGCUGGCGGUAGGCCUAACACAUGCAAGUCGAACGGCAGCACAGUAAGAGCUUGCUCUUACGGGUGGCGAGUGGCGGACGGGUGAGGAAUACAUCGGAAUCUACUUUUUCGUGGGGGAUAACGUAGGGAAACUUACGCUAAUACCGCAUACGCCCUACGGGUGAAAGCAUGGGAUCUUCGGACCUUGCGCGAUUGAAUGAGCCGAUGUCGGAUUAGCUAGUUGGCGGGGUAAAGGCCCACCAAGGCGACGAUCCGUAGCUGGUCUGAGAGGAUGAUCAGCCACACUGGAACUGAGACACGGUCCAGACUCCUACGGGAGGCAGCAGUGGGGAAUAUUGGACAAUGGGCGCAAGCCUGAUCCAGCCAUACCGCGUGGGUGAAGAAGGCCUUCGGGUUGUAAAGCCCUUUUGUUGGGAAAGAAAAGCAGCAGGUUAAUACCCCGCUGUUCUGACGGUACCCAAAGAAUAAGCACCGGCUAACUUCGUG
RNAcentral lists this ribosomal RNA (492 nucleotides) under uncultured bacterium. Its description in RNAcentral is "partial 16S ribosomal RNA". It matches the Rfam family "Bacterial small subunit ribosomal RNA", at positions 29 to 507 of the family's 1533-position model. The record is from RNAcentral.